RNAcentral lists this ribosomal RNA (603 nucleotides) under uncultured fungus. RNAcentral describes it as "eukaryotic LSU rRNA". It matches the Rfam family "Eukaryotic large subunit ribosomal RNA", at positions 23 to 641 of the family's 3401-position model. Lineage: Eukaryota; Fungi. The record is from RNAcentral.
ACCCGCUGAACUUAAGCAUAUCAAUAAGCGGAGGAAAAGAAACCAACAGGGAUUGCCCUAGUAACGGCGAGUGAAGCGGCAACAGCUCAAAUUUGAAAUCUGGCGUCUUUGGCGUCCGAGUUGUAAUUUGCAGAGGGCGCUUUGGCAUUGGCAGCGGUCCAAGUUCCUUGGAACAGGACGUCACAGAGGGUGGGAAUCCCGUACGUGGUCGCUAGCCUUUACCGUGUAAAGCCCCUUCGACGAGUCGAGUUGUUUGGGAAUGCAGCUCUAAAUGGGAGGUAAAUUUCUUCUAAAGCUAAAUACUGGCCAGAGACCGAUAGCGCACAAGUAGAGUGAUCGAAAGAUGAAAAGCACUUUGGAAAGAGAGUUAAAAAGCACGUGAAAUUGUUGAAAGGGAAGCGCUUGCAGCCAGACUUGCCUGUAGUUGCUCAUCCGGGUUUUUACCCGGUGCACUCUUCUAUAGGCAGGCCAGCAUCAGUUUGGGCGGUUGGAUAAAGGUCUCUGUCAUGUACCUCUCUUCGGGGAGAACUUAUAGGGGAGACGACAUGCAACCAGCCCGGACUGAGGUCCGCGCAUCUGCUAGGAUGCUGGCGUAAUGGCUGU